This 406-nucleotide ribosomal RNA is filed under the name uncultured bacterium. RNAcentral's name for it is "partial 16S ribosomal RNA". It matches the Rfam family "Bacterial small subunit ribosomal RNA", at positions 30 to 526 of the family's 1533-position model. The record is from RNAcentral.
AUUGAACGCUGGCGGCAGGCCUAACACAUGCAAGUCGAACGAGUGGCUUACGGGUGAGUAAUGUCUGGGAAACUGUCCGAUGGAGGGGGAUAACUACUGGAAACGGUAGCUAAUACCGCAUACCAUCAGAUGUGCCCAUAUGGGAUUAGCUUGUGGGUGGGGUAACGGCUCACCAAGGCGACGAUCCCUAGCUGGUCUGAGAGGAUGACCAGCCACACUGGAACGGAGACACGGGCCAGACUCCUACGGGAGGAAGCAGUGGGGAAUAUUGAACAAUGGGCGCAAGCCUGAUGCAGCCAUGCCGCGUGUAUGAAGAAGGCAUUCGGGUUGUAAAGUACUUUCAGCGGGGAGGCGUUACCCGCAGAAGAAGCAACGGCUAAAUCCGUGCCAGCAGCCGCGGUAAUUC